AGUCACUGACAUUAGAUACCCGUGUAGUCCAGGGUGUAGACGCUGCAGACUUGGUGUUGGAAGCCCUUUGGGGGCAUUCAGUGCCGGAGAGAAGUUGUUAAGUCUGCUACUUGGGGAGUACGUCCGCAAGGAUGAAACUUAAAGGAAUUGGCGGGGGAGCACCGCAACGGGAGGAGCGUGCGGUUUAAUUGGAUUCAACACCGUAAACUCACCAGGGAAGACUGUUACAUGAAGGCCGAGAUGAAGACUCUGCUAGAUUUUCAG
Molecule: ribosomal RNA, 264 nt
Filed under: uncultured archaeon
Lineage: Archaea
Description: partial 16S ribosomal RNA
Rfam family: Archaeal small subunit ribosomal RNA
Source: RNAcentral